RNAcentral lists this ribosomal RNA (468 nucleotides) under uncultured bacterium. RNAcentral describes it as "partial 16S ribosomal RNA". It matches the Rfam family "Bacterial small subunit ribosomal RNA", at positions 28 to 507 of the family's 1533-position model. The record is from RNAcentral.
GACGAACGCUGGCGGCGUGCUUAACACAUGCAAGUCGAACGGAAAGGCCCUGCUUUUGUGGGGUGCUCGAGUGGCGAACGGGUGAGUAACACGUGAGUAACCUGCCCUUGACUUUGGGAUAACUUCAGGAAACUGGGGCUAAUACCGGAUAGGAGCUCCUGCUGCAUGGUGGGGGUUGGAAAGUUUCGGCGGUCGGGGAUGGACUCGCGGCUUAUCAGCUUGUUGGUGGGGUAGUGGCUUACCAAGGCUUUGACGGGUAGCCGGCCUGAGAGGGUGACCGGCCACAUUGGGACUGAGAUACGGCCCAGACUCCUACGGGAGGCAGCAGUGGGGAAUAUUGCACAAUGGGCGGAAGCCUGAUGCAGCAACGCCGCGUGCGGGGUGACGGCCUUCGGGUUGUAAACCGCUUUCGCCUGUGACGAAGCGUGAGUGACGGUAAUGGGUAAAGAAGCACCGGCUAACUACGUG